CACGUAGGGUGCAAGCGUUGUCCGGAAUCAUUGGGCGUAAAGAGCUCGUAGGCGGCUUAGUAAGUCGGGUGUGAAAACCCCAGGCUCAACCUGGGGACGCCACCCGAUACUGCUAUAGCUAGAGUCCAGUAGGGGAGUGUGGAAUUCCCAGUGUAGCGGUGAAAUGCGUAGAUAUCUGGAGGAACACCGGUGGCGAAGGCGGCAUCCUGGACCAAUACUGACGCUGAGGAGCGAAAGCCAGGGGAGCAAACGGG
Molecule: ribosomal RNA, 254 nt
Filed under: uncultured bacterium
Lineage: Bacteria
Description: partial 16S ribosomal RNA
Rfam family: Bacterial small subunit ribosomal RNA
Source: RNAcentral